RNAcentral lists this long non-coding RNA (858 nucleotides) under Brassica napus (rape). RNAcentral's name for it is "long non-coding RNA (BNAP_LNC015851)". The record is from RNAcentral. Lineage: Eukaryota; Viridiplantae; Streptophyta; Magnoliopsida; Brassicales; Brassicaceae.
GUGGUGGUGAAGGAGGAAGAGCUGGACGUGGAGCCGUGGAUGUGGAUCAAAAGUUGGAAGGUAUGGAGGAGGUGACGGUGGAGGAACUAAUGGUUUAAGUGGAACUUGUGUAAUUGGAUAUGAAAAUUGUGGUGGUGAAAGAAGUGGUUAGCAGUCAUGGAGCCGGUGGAGGGUCUUAUCGUGGUAGUGCUUACGUAGGCAGGUAAUGGAGGAGCUUAUGGCAUAGGAGGAGGAGCUAAUGGCGUCAGUGGAGCUUGCAGAUGUGGAUAUAAAAGUUGUGGUUGCGAAAGAAGUGGUUAGCAGUGAUGGAGCCGGUGGAGGGUCUUAUCGUGGUAGUGCUUACGUAGGCAGGUAAUGGAGGAGCUUAUGGCAGAGGAGGAGGAGCUAAUGGCGUCAGUGGAGCUUGCAGAUGUGGAUAUGAAAGUUGUGGUUGCGAAAGAAGUGGUUAGCGGUCAUGGAGGCGGUUGAAGGUUUUAUGGUGUUGGUUUUUACGAAGGCUGAAGGAAGAGGAACCAGAGGCGGGGAAAGAUUAACAGUUUUACCCUCUGGUGGCAGUAGAGGAAGUGGUGAUGGAGAAGCUUAUGGCGGAGGUGGAGUUUAUAGCGGGAUAGUUAUGGAAGUGGUAGUGGUGAAGGAGGUGGUAUGGUGGUACAAAAGAAAGAUACCUCAGUGGUGGUUAAGGAGGUAGUUAUGGAUAGUCCACAAUUUGAAAUCGGUUUCAUGACCACACUUUCUCUGACCACAUGAACGAAAUUAAAUGAAGGUUAUAAUAGACAUUUUACUCCACCUUUUCCUGCACAAAGUAUACCUCCAGCUUGAAGUAUGUCAAAGUGUAAUACAACACCUUUAAAGUAUGUC